Molecule: ribosomal RNA, 486 nt
Rfam family: 5.8S ribosomal RNA (bases 156-309)
GUCUUCGNGCCCNCCCAUUCACGCACGCACGACUGCCAUCCUUACUUUACGAGCACCUUCUGUUCUCCCUCGGCNNGNGGGCAACNCUGCCGUUGGAACCGAAUAAACUCUUUUUNGCAUCUAGCAUUACCUGUUCCGAAACAAACAAUCGUUACAACUUUCAACAAUGGAUCUCUUGGCUCUGGCAUCGAUGAAGAACGCAGCGAAAUGCGAUAAGUAGUGUGAAUUGCAGAAUUCAGUGAAUCAUCGAAUCUUUGAACGCACAUUGCGCCCCUCGGUAUUCCGUGGGGCAUGCCUGUUCGAGCGUCAUCUACACCCUCAAGCUCUGCUUGGUGUUGGGCGUCUGUCCCGCCUCCGCGCGUGGACUCGCCCCAAAUUCAUUGGCAGCGGUCCUUGCCUCCUCUCGCGCAGCACAUUGCGCUUCUCGAGGNGGCUNCGGNCUCGCGUCCAACAAGCANCAUUUACCGUCUUUGACCUCGGAUCAGG